GCGGAAGUAAAGUCGUAACAAGGUUUCCGUAGGUGAACCUGCGGAAGGAUCAUUAAAAAAUUGGACUCCAUUGGUGAGUUCAUUAAUAAUCCUACCCUUUGUGAAUUUGUUGUUUGAAUAAUUUUUUUUCCAAAAAAAUUAUUGAAUGUCUUUCCCUGUUUGGUGGAGCUUGUAAAGUGAAACCAGGCAGGGAAUGGCAAACAAUAAUUAUUUUUGAAAAAGACCUUUUUUAAAAUUAAACUUUUUGUAUUCAUUUGUCUAAAAUUAUUUUUUAUAAUAUAAAAAACAACUUUCGACAAUGGAUCUCUUGGUUCUCGCAACGAUGAAGAACGCAGCAAAAUGCGAUAAGUAGUGUGAAUUGCAGAAUACGUGAAUCAUCGAAUCUUCGAACGCAUAUUGCACUUUUUUAGUUUACUAAAAAAGUAUGUCUGUUUGAGUAUCAGUAAAAUAUUCUCAUAAAAAAUUUAUUUUUUAUGGUUAUGAGUGUUUUACAACGAUAACAAGUUGUUUCACUUUAAAUUCUUUGUUAUCAAAAAAAUCAUUAAAAGCUAAUUUUAAAGAUUUUUUAAAAUUGGAUAAAAUUUUCCCGUAAAAAGGAAUAACCUAAACAAUUUAAAAAAUUAAAAUUGGUUUGAUUUUUCUUGAUUUAAAAAGGAAAAAAAAAGUAAAAAUUAAACUUGAUCUCAAAUCAGAUAAGAGUACCCGCUGAACUUAAGCAUAUCAAUAAGCGGAGGAAAAGAAACUGACUAGGAUUCCCUCAGUAACGGCGAGUGAAGCGGGAAGAGCUCAAAUUUGAAAUCUUCAAGGUUUUACCUUGACGAAUUGUAGUUUAAAGAAGUGUUUUCUGUUGGAGUUUUGGUAAAAGUUCUUUGGAAAAGGACAUCAUAGAGGGUGAGAAUCCGUAUUUGACCAUUAUCUCCAGCUUUGUGAUACACUUUCAAAGAGUCGGAUUGUUUGGGAAUGCAGUCCAAAAUGGGUGGUAAAUUUCAUCUAAAGCUAAUACUGGCGAGAGACCGAUAGCGAACAAGUACCGUGAGGGAAAGAUGAAAAGAACUUUGAAAAGAGAGUUAAACAGUACGUGAAAUUGUCAAAAGGGAAGCGUUUGACACCAGUGUUGUUUUCUCGAAAAUCAAUUAAAAAAGGCCGGAUUUUGUGUUGUAUUGACUUUAUCAGCUUUCUGCACUUUUUUCUUGUCUUUUUUAAUGCACUUUUCGUUUAACAAGUCAACAUCAAUUUCUUUUGUUGUAAAAGGGUCAUUGGAAGGUGGCUUUCUUUUCGGAGAAAGUGUUUAUAGCCUUUGGCCUCUGCAAUCGGAGAGAUUGAGGUCUGCAGCGUAGAUCCUUCGGGGUUAGAUACAUUUGUGCUAAGUUAUAGCCUUUCAUAGACAACUUGUUGACUAUGAUCAGUCAUGUAGCUUACUCGCUUAUGCUAUUUUACCUACGCUUAGGAUGUUGAG
This 1456-nucleotide unclassified non-coding RNA is filed under the name uncultured Neocallimastigales. RNAcentral's name for it is "partial contains small subunit ribosomal RNA, internal transcribed spacer 1, 5.8S ribosomal RNA, internal transcribed spacer 2, and large subunit ribosomal RNA". The stretch from base 679 to 1456 matches the Rfam family "Eukaryotic large subunit ribosomal RNA", at positions 1 to 630 of the family's 3401-position model. The record is from RNAcentral. Lineage: Eukaryota; Fungi; Neocallimastigomycota; Neocallimastigomycetes; Neocallimastigales.